RNAcentral lists this long non-coding RNA (409 nucleotides) under Ursus americanus (American black bear). RNAcentral's name for it is "lncRNA (ENSUAMG00000026074.1)". The record is from RNAcentral. Lineage: Eukaryota; Metazoa; Chordata; Mammalia; Carnivora; Ursidae.
AUAACAGUCUGUCAAGAGAGUCAGCAAAUGUAGAGACCCAAGGUCAAUGCUGACAGAAGGGAUUGCAAGGAGUCGGGCCGAUUAGAAGCAACUAUCCUAGAACGAGACUUUGGUAGGAAGAGGAUGGACCAGGAGACCUUAGAGGCUUCAGAUCCCUCCAACUGGUGGACCCUGUCCAUCUCCAGCCCUUCCAUCCCAAUUUUUUCAGAGAACCUCCAAGAUGCCCAUCCUGGUGCCAGGAGAUAGAAUAACUGGAGAGGGGAAACACUGUACAUCCCUGAAGAAUGGAUGAAGUUGUUCAUUCAUUUGUUCACUCAAUGAAUUUCUAUCGACCACCUUCUUUGCAUGCAACAGGACUGGGAAAAGAAAGCUGAAUAAAAACCUUGACGCUACCUUGAGAAGUUUGUUG